CUGAUUUAUCUGGAACCUAUUCUGAAAAGGAAAUACCCAGAUCAGUGAAUGGUGCCCUGUGACAGUGGAGUGAGAUUUUCCAAACACUAGGCCUGUUUGUUUCCUAAAGUGCUAUCACCUCAUACUGUAUGUUGUGCAAAUCCAUAAACAGCAUCCUAGUGUAUUUUUCUUCUUGUUUUGUUGCUGGAGAGCAGGUAUCUUAUGUGGAAAAUUAUUUACUGAGGAAAAAAUGUCAAUUUCUACAAACAUGUCUAUUGUCUUUCUAUUUAUAUUAUAAGACAUACUUGAAAGGGAAAAAAGGUACCUGACUUCACAAGGACUUCUUGUUGCCACUAUCCAGAGAGGCAGCACCGGGAGACAGGGCAAGCACGGACCUGGCUGUCAGCAAACCUGGGUUCCAGGCCAAGCCCCACCAGGAGGAGCUGGGAAGCCCUGGCUGACUGCCAGCCCCAGGUGCUUAUCCACAGCCUGUAGUUUCCUUAUUCUGCGUGGUGCUAAGUUUCUAUGAUGACCCACUUCUCUGAACUUUGAGCAUGGAUCGUGAGUGCCUUUACCACCAACCACUCUGGGCUGCCUUAGGAAAGGGAGAUGUGGUGGACGAGGAACGAAAGGUAAAGGGAACUCCUCCAUUCUCAGCCCAUGUGGUUUGAGAGGGCUGACUCACCUCCAGCUCCACGGUGGGCAUGAAGCCCAGGCAUAUGCCCACAAGCAGCUGUCCACAAUGACAAGUUCGAGGAUGGGCACGAGGUCCAAUACUGCCAACGAGAGUUAGGCCUGGGGCAUUACAUGGAUCUGUUGGAAUGAAAAAAGCAUGUUCUACUUCUGGAGUCACUCUGGAAGUGGAGCCUAGAGCCACUGAUGGCCGUUUUAUCACAUGGAGAAGAAACCUGCCUAAGAAUGGAGCCAAAGGAAAGCAGGGCCAAGAGAUGGCUCCAGACUGGACUCUGAUCACAUCAUCUGAGUCCCUGAGACCAGUAUUAACCCUUGAUCUUUCAAGUAUGUAAGUCAAUAAAGGUCUGUGUUGC
This 1025-nucleotide long non-coding RNA is filed under the name Pan troglodytes (chimpanzee). RNAcentral's name for it is "long non-coding RNA NONPTRT001242". The record is from RNAcentral. Lineage: Eukaryota; Metazoa; Chordata; Mammalia; Primates; Hominidae.